Musa acuminata AAA Group (dessert banana) is the source of this 592-nucleotide long non-coding RNA. RefSeq lists it as uncharacterized. NCBI's taxonomy places the organism in Eukaryota, Viridiplantae, Streptophyta, Magnoliopsida, Zingiberales, Musaceae. The record is from RefSeq and is a predicted model, not a curated record. The transcript has 2 exons.
AAAACCUUCCUCUUAGGGUUCAUAGGUUGCAUUCUCGAACCCACUUGAUCGCCUAAUUGAAGUUUCAUCUGGCCGCAUCCGCUGAUUAAAUCCCGUCCUCCUCUCUCCUCCCACCUGCAGAUUGGGAGUCAGACCAGUCCAACGGAACCGAUGUUGUCUCAACCGCGAUGUUUUUGCCAGUACUCUCUGCAGCUUACAGGCACAACCAAACUGUCAUCAUCUUGAAUGAGUCUUCGGAUAAGCGCUACCCAAUGCUGCAGACAGCCAUUCACAUCUGUUCUCAUGGCUUCUUUCUCUUCUUGUUCUUAGCACAAAGGCGACUGAGACUCGAGUCCUGGACUAAGUGAGGACCAAAAUCAGGUGACACACCUGGCCGAAUGCAGACCUCAUACUUCAAUAGGAUAUUUUGUUACAUAAAAAUGUUCUCUUUGUUUUAGAUCAAUUUGCAAUGUGGCAUCAUUCAUCAUGCCCUCCAUGAUACGUUACAUAUCGCAUGCCAGUGAUGUUCUUUGUUUUGUCGGACUUGCCAGAUGAAUGCCAAUUAUUUUUCAUAAAUGAAGAGAAGUUAUUAGUUAGUUGAUAGAAUAAACAC